AACCUUUACACUGCACGACAGUGCGAUAGGGGGACUCCGAGUGCGGGGGCAUAGAGCCCUCGCUUUUGUACACCGUAAGGUGGUGUACGAAUAAGAACUGGGCAAGACCGGUGCCAGCCGCCGCGGUAAUACCGGCAGUUCGAGUGAUGGCCGAUUUUAUUGGGCCUAAAGCGUUCGUAGCUGGCCGAUCAAGUCUGUCGGGAAAUCUGCUCGCCUAACGAGCAGGCGUCCGGCGGAAACUGAUCGGCUUGGGACCGGAAGACUCGAGGGGUACGUCCGGGGUCGGAGUGAAAUCCUGUAAUCCUGGACGGACCACCGAUGGCGAAAGCACCUCGAGAGCACGGAUCCGACAGUGAGGAACGAAAGCUGGGGUCUCGAACCGGAUUAGAUACCCGGGUAGUCCCAGCUGUCAACGAUGCCCGCUAGGUAUGGCGCAGGCUACGAGCCUGUGCUAUGCCGUAGCGAAGGCGCUAAGCGGGCCGCCUGGGAAGUACGUUCGCAAGAAUGAAACUUAA
This 515-nucleotide ribosomal RNA is filed under the name uncultured archaeon. RNAcentral describes it as "bacterial SSU rRNA". It matches the Rfam family "Archaeal small subunit ribosomal RNA", at positions 345 to 859 of the family's 1478-position model. The record is from RNAcentral.